Pan paniscus (pygmy chimpanzee) is the source of this 100-nucleotide microRNA precursor. The record is from Ensembl. NCBI's taxonomy places the organism in Eukaryota, Metazoa, Chordata, Mammalia, Primates, Hominidae.
GAGGUGGGAGGAUCACUUGAGCCUGGGAGGUCAAGGCUGCAGUGAGCUGUGAUCACACCACUGCACUCCAGCCUGAGUGACAGAGUAAGACUCUGUCUCA